CGCGGCCUAUCAGCUUGUUGGUGAGGUAACGGCUCACCAAGGCUUCGACGGGUAGCUAGUCUGAGAGGACGAAUAGCCACACUGGGACUGAGACACGGCCCAGACUUCUACGGAAGGCAGCAGUGGGGAAUCUUGCACAAUGGGCGAAAGCCUGAUGCAGCGACGCCGCGUGGGGGAUGAAGGCCCUAGGGUCGUAAACCCCUUUCAGUGGGGACGAAACUGACGGUACCCACAGAAGAAGGUCCGGCCAACUACGUGCCAGCAGCCGCGGUAAGACGUAGGGACCGAGCGUUGUCCGGAUUUAUUGGGCGUAAAGAGCUCGUAGGCGGUUGCGUAAGUCGGAUGUGAAAACUUGAGGCUCAACCUCAAGACGCCAUCCGAUACUGCGCUGACUUGAAUCCAGUAGGGGAGUGUGGAAUUUGUUGUGUAGCGGUGAAAUGCGCAGAUAUGACAAGGAACACCUAUGGCGAAGGCAGCACCCUGGGCUGGUAUUGACGCUGAGGAGCGAAAGCAUGGGUAGCAAACAGGAUUAGAUACCCUGGUAGUCCAUGCCGUAAACGGUGGGCACUAGGUGUGGGGACUUCCAACGGUUUCCGUGCCGAAGCUAACGCAUUAAGUGCCCCGCCUGGGGAGUACGG
Molecule: ribosomal RNA, 638 nt
Filed under: uncultured bacterium
Lineage: Bacteria
Description: bacterial SSU rRNA
Rfam family: Bacterial small subunit ribosomal RNA
Source: RNAcentral